GACCUAAGUUUCACAAACAACACUAUAUAACAUUCUUUUAGACAAAAGCAUCAAUGCAUGCAGAUCUUACUGAAAUCAAACAUAUGACGGCAUCAUUUCAUACAUGUUACUAUAAAUAGCCAAGAUCAAUAUUAAUCUUCAAAAGGUGAUAUAUUGCAAAUUUUACACCAACAAUGGCCACUCUGAAUGCACAUUCCACCAAGAUUCGUUAUUGAAUCCUGUAGUUACUAGCAAAGUUGACCUCGGUAAUGUUCCUUGGAGGGCUUGUUAUAGAAUCCUAUAGUUACAAGAAAAAUUGACUCGGUAAUGUUGCUGGGAGGGCUUGUGCAUGUGGCUGCAAGCUUGUAGGUUGAUUACCGUGCAUCUUGACUUGAAGGCCGCCAGCACAGAAUCUCAUUGGUAGGUUAUGGGUAAAAUUAGUUGCCCCAAAAAUUGGAAAAUUGGAGGGCGGUGACGGAAGUGUACGACUGUACGCGCUGCUGAGGAGCUGGGGGCAGGAGCCAGGCAGUAGAUGAAGUCAAGAUGCCAGCCACUCCUACGAGGCUACGACCAUGCAUAGAGGUGCGGGAGGCCACAGCCAGCACCACCCUCACCAUAGCUCAGGCCGAUAACCACUUCGUAGGUUGGCAAUGAGCCGCUUGACGAACUGGUACGUGAACUGCGCACCGCACGCUGCCAUUGACAGCGGGUAAGGCACCAUCGGAUCAGAUUUUGAGCACACCUGCUGCAACGUCUUCUCCAGGGCUCAUGGAUCCGCUCCUCCCUGAAACUCUAGGGUUUCUGAAGGAGAAGAGAGCAGAGGUGGAUCGUAGGAGAGAAAGAGGCUGCUGUAUGUGUCUCUCGCGACAGGUUUUCCCUCGGUCGAGCGACGGUUGGCGAUUGCUAAAACCUUCAUUAGGUGCGAAGUCAUCGGCUGUUUCAGAGGGUCGAUCUGAAAUUGACAAACCCAUAAGCACUAGCCCCGGCCACCAUGUUGAAUAAUCACGUACCUGUUCAACAAAAGGGGAAUGAAAACAACCAAAGGUAAAAUAGAUAAUGGUCAAUGAGGCUAUUGCAAAUAAUGGUGUUCAACAUAUGAUUUUAGCAACAUACCAGCUAUUUUCAUCUAAUAUUUGAAGUAAAGGGUUCUAAUAGUGCCUUGCAGCAAAACCAAUUUGAGUUUAUAUUUUAACUAUUUAUAAUAAGAGUACAACACAUGCAGGGGUAUCAUCUUGGGCAAAGAAGACAAAUGACCUGACAAGAGCAGGGUACAAACUUCACUACAACACUUCUAUCCUAUUCUUAUAACAAUGUUCCACACACCCUUGAAUACAUUAACCUGAUUAUCCAAAUCAUAUUUUUAGCAAAUUAGAGUAGAAGGCAACAGCAGGUAUGUUAUGACACAAUUUGCCUCUAGCACAUCUACAGUCUAACUAAUAAAUGAAAAUACAUUACAUUAUAAUGCAAAUAAUGUAUGAAAAAAUAAAUGCAGGCAAGCUAGGACGAAGCGAAGUUGAUCUACAAACAAAACAAAAAAAUAGAAGCGUCCAAAGUUAUUAACCAUGAUAGGUAACCAGUCGGAUAUUCAUGUCCAAUAAGACAAUCUACACCAUCGAAUGGAAGGUACUGGCUUGCAUUCUAGUAUAUUAUUCGGUAUUCAUUAACAGGAAAAUAGCUCAUUACAUGUACCUAUAAAAAUAAUUGAUCAUGAAAUAAAUAUAUUACAGGCCAUUCACAUGCGUAUAUACAUCCACUGAUGUUGUAGCUUGCCAAACAAGGAAAAAGGUAAUCACAUAAUUAUGAUAUCUUCAAAUUACUUUUAGU
This 1803-nucleotide long non-coding RNA is filed under the name Triticum aestivum (bread wheat). Its description in RNAcentral is "long non-coding RNA (TAES_LNC002007)". The record is from RNAcentral. Lineage: Eukaryota; Viridiplantae; Streptophyta; Magnoliopsida; Poales; Poaceae.